This 492-nucleotide ribosomal RNA is filed under the name uncultured bacterium. Its description in RNAcentral is "partial 16S ribosomal RNA". It matches the Rfam family "Bacterial small subunit ribosomal RNA", at positions 29 to 507 of the family's 1533-position model. The record is from RNAcentral.
AGUGAACGCUGGCGGUAUGCCUAACACAUGCAAGUCGAACGGCAGCACAGUAAGAGCUUGCUCUUACGGGUGGCGAGUGGCGGACGGGUGAGGAAUACAUCGGAUUCCACUUUUUCGUGGGGGAUAACGUAGGGAAACUUACGCUAAUACCGCAUACGACCUACGGCUGAAAGCAGGGGAUCUUCGCACCUUGCGCGAUUGAAUGAGCCGAUGUCGCAUUAGCUAGUUGGCGGGGUAAAGGCCCACCAAGGCGACGAUACGUAGCUGGUCUGAGAGGAUGAUCAGCCACACUGGAACUGAGACACGGUCCAGACUCCUACGGGAGGCAGCAGUGGGGAAUAUUGGACAAUGGGCGCAAGCCUGAUCCAGCAAUACCGCGUGGGUGAAGAAGGCCUUCGGGUUGUAAAGCCCUUUUGUUGGGAAAGAAAAGCAGCAGGUUAAUACGCCGCUGUUCUGACGGUACCCAAAGAAUAAGCACCGGCUAACUUCGUG